RNAcentral lists this ribosomal RNA (253 nucleotides) under uncultured bacterium. RNAcentral describes it as "partial 16S ribosomal RNA". It matches the Rfam family "Bacterial small subunit ribosomal RNA", at positions 524 to 776 of the family's 1533-position model. The record is from RNAcentral.
GACGAACCGUACAAACGUUAUUCGGAAUCACUGGGCUUAAAGGGUGCGUAGGUGGCGCUGUAAGUCGGGUGUGAAAUUUCGGAGCUUAACUCCGAAACUGCAUUCGAUACUGCGGUGCUUGAGGACUGGAGAGGAGACUGGAAUUCAUGGUGUAGCAGUGAAAUGCGUAGAGAUCAUGAGGAAGACCAGUGGCGAAGGCGGGUCUCUGGACAGUUCCUGACACUGAGGCACGAAGGCCAGGGGAGCAAACGGG